This 70-nucleotide transfer RNA is filed under the name Dibamus novaeguineae. RNAcentral's name for it is "tRNA-Tyr". It matches the Rfam family "tRNA". Rfam says of the family: Transfer RNA (tRNA) molecules are approximately 80 nucleotides in length. Their secondary structure includes four short double-helical elements and three loops (D, anti-codon, and T loops). Further hydrogen bonds mediate the characteristic L-shaped molecular structure. tRNAs have two regions of fundamental functional importance: the anti-codon, which is responsible for specific mRNA codon recognition, and the 3' end, to which the tRNAs corresponding amino acid is attached (by aminoacyl-tRNA synthetases). tRNAs cope with the degeneracy of the genetic code in two manners: having more than one tRNA (with a specific anti-codon) for a particular amino acid; and 'wobble' base-pairing, i.e. permitting non-standard base-pairing at the 3rd anti-codon position. Lineage: Eukaryota; Metazoa; Chordata; Lepidosauria; Squamata; Dibamidae. The record is from RNAcentral.
AGGUAAGAUGGCUGAAUGUUUAAGUGGCGGGUUGUAGCCCUGCAUAUAGGGGUUCUAUUCCCCUUCUUUC